UACAGAGGUCUCAAGCGUUGUUCGGAUUCAUUGGGCGUAAAGGGUGCGUAGGCGGCGCGGUAAGUCGGGUGUGAAAUCUCGGAGCUUAACUCCGAAACUGCAUUCGAUACUGCCGUGCUUGAGGACUGGAGAGGAGACUGGAAUUUACGGUGUAGCGGUGAAAUGCGUAGAUAUCCGGAGGAACCCCAGAGGCGAAGGCGGCGCCCUGGCUCGCAACUGACGCUCAGACACGACAGCAUGGGGAGCGAACGGG
Molecule: ribosomal RNA, 253 nt
Filed under: uncultured bacterium
Lineage: Bacteria
Description: partial 16S ribosomal RNA
Rfam family: Bacterial small subunit ribosomal RNA
Source: RNAcentral